This 68-nucleotide transfer RNA is filed under the name Californiconus californicus. RNAcentral describes it as "tRNA-Glu". Lineage: Eukaryota; Metazoa; Mollusca; Gastropoda; Neogastropoda; Conidae. The record is from RNAcentral.
GUUUCCGUGGUGUAAAAAUCGCACGUUAGAUUUUCAUUCUAGAAGUAUAAAAUAAUUUAUCGGAAAUA